Molecule: ribosomal RNA, 780 nt
Filed under: uncultured Planctomycetaceae bacterium
Lineage: Bacteria; Pseudomonadati; Planctomycetota; Planctomycetia; Planctomycetales; Planctomycetaceae
Description: bacterial SSU rRNA
Rfam family: Bacterial small subunit ribosomal RNA
Source: RNAcentral
AGAGUUUGAUCCUGGCUCAGAACGAACGUUGGCGGCGUGGAUUAGGCAUGCAAGUCGAACGAAUCCCGGCCCCGCAAGGGGCCGGGGGAAGUGGCGAAAGGGGCAGUAAGGCGUGGGUAACCUACCCCGGGGACCGGCAUAGCCGCCCUAACGGGCGGGUAAUUCCGGGCGAUCUGGGAGCGGGGCAUCCUGAACCCAGGAGAUGAGUUUCGCCUCGGGCGGGGCCCACGUGCUAUCAGCUAGUUGGCGGGGUGACGGCCCACCAAGGCGUUGACGGCUAGCGGGUGUGAGAGCACGACCCGCGCCACUGGCACUGAGACACUGGCCAGACACCUACGGGUGGCUGCAGUCGAGGAUCUUCGGCAAUGGGCGCAAGCCUGACCGAGCGACGCCGCGUGCGCGACGAAGGCCUUCGGGUUGUAAAGCGCUGUCGGGGGGGCGGAAGGCGCAAGCUUGACUGCCCCCCGGAGGAAGCACGGGCUAAGUUCGUGCCAGCAGCCGCGGUAAGACGAACCGUGCGAACGUUGUUCGGAAUCACUGGGCUUAAAGGGCGCGUAGGCGGGUGUGCCAGUCUGUGGUGAAAGCCCCCGGCUCAACCGGGGAACGGCCGCGGAUACUGCACACCUCGAGGGGGGUAGGGGCGCGCGGAACGCCGGGUGGAGCGGUGAAAUGCGUUGAUAUCCGGCGGAACUCCGGUGGCGAAAGCGGCGCGCUGGGCCCCGCCUGACGCUGAGGCGCGAAAGCCAGGGGAGCGAACGGGAUUAGAUACCCCCGUAGUCC